GUGCUUUACUGUUCAGAUACAUAAAGGAGUUAUUUAGAAGUGAUCCUAGCUCUCUCCUUAGCAUUAGCUUGCAGGUCUGAAUGACAGAGAAAAGAGCCUCCCUGAGAAGCUGACAGUUCAAGGAUGCAAAGGAAAAAAUUGCAAGGACACACAUGGAAAACUUGAGUUAUGCUCAAGUAAAUUUGAUUCACUGUAAAUGUCACUGCAGAUAAAGCUUGUCAAGAAGGGUGCAAGCGUAGACAGGACUUGGAGGGUGAGCUCUCUGCUGGCAGGAUGCAUCCUUAGAAGAAAUCUAUUGUGAAGACUUCAGUUGAUAUUCAUUUUUUAGAUCAGCUAGUGACCUGAUGCCCACAUGGACAGGUCAUGUGGAUUUCUUACAGGGCAGGAAGUUGGAAGCUGAGCAACCUGCUUGGAGCAUGAAUUUCAUCCGUAAGAUCAUGGACAGCAUAUGCAAGUGUUGAUACUUCUGUUCUCUCUCCAUCUUUUGGCGUGAUCGGCACUGCCUCUUCCAGGCAGCUCCUAGAAACAACUCACAGUCACUGAUGAAGUGGGAGCAUCCAGACCAAUGUCCAGCUCUAGAGAACCCUGGAAAAUGGGAGAACCUUGACAUACUGUCUGCUUGGAUGUCAGAGACAAAAGAAACAGCUGGGACCAAGUUAGGAACUGUGAUUAUAAAUCUCAGCAUCCAGCAGCAAGAAUCAGAUUUGAAUGGAUGUUUGGAUAAAGAAUGAAGAGAUGAACAGGACCAGAAAGUCGAAGAAUAUUGUUUGAGGUACGUCUCUUAUAUGUUGUAAUUUAGGGAUCAAUCUCACUAUCUCACUAUUACUGUUGUUACUGAGAAGAAAAACAACAACAGAAGAAAACCUAACUCUGGAGAUUCUAAUGAUAUUUUAUGGAGAACUGAGGGGCUCCUCAGGAAAAUUUUAAAAAAAAUAAUAAAAAAAAUUAAAAAAAUAAAUAAAAAAUAAAA
RNAcentral lists this long non-coding RNA (970 nucleotides) under Coturnix japonica (Japanese quail). Its description in RNAcentral is "lncRNA (ENSCJPG00005018183.1)". Lineage: Eukaryota; Metazoa; Chordata; Aves; Galliformes; Phasianidae. The record is from RNAcentral.